AUUCGUCUGAAGAGUCUCAAAUAGGAUGAAACGUUCGUCAUGUAU
This 45-nucleotide non-coding RNA is filed under the name Schistosoma margrebowiei. The record is from RNAcentral. Lineage: Eukaryota; Metazoa; Platyhelminthes; Trematoda; Strigeidida; Schistosomatidae.